UGGGGAAUAUUGCACAAUGGGCGCAAGCCUGAUGCAGCCAUGCCGCGUGUAUGAAGAAGGCCUUCGGGUUGUAAAGUACUUUCAGCGGGGAGGAAGGGAGUAAAGUUAAUACCUUUGCUCAUUGACGUUACCCGCAGAAGAAGCACCGGCUAACUCCGUGCCAGCAGCCGCGGUAAUACGGAGGGUGCAAGCGUUAAUCGGAAUUACUGGGCGUAAAGCGCACGCAGGCGGUUUGUUAAGUCAGAUGUGAAAUCCCCGGGCUCAACCUGGGAACUGCAUCUGAUACUGGCAAGCUUGAGUCUCGUAGAGGGGGGUAGAAUGCCAGGUGUAGCGGUGAAAUGCGUAGAGAUCUGGAGGAAUACCGGUGGCGAAGGCGGCCCCCUGGACGAAGACUGACGCUCAGGUGCGAAAGUGUGGGGAGCAAACAGG
This 429-nucleotide ribosomal RNA is filed under the name Chloroflexota bacterium. RNAcentral describes it as "Chloroflexi bacterium partial 16S ribosomal RNA". It matches the Rfam family "Bacterial small subunit ribosomal RNA", at positions 355 to 776 of the family's 1533-position model. Lineage: Bacteria; Bacillati; Chloroflexota. The record is from RNAcentral.